Molecule: long non-coding RNA, 1678 nt
Filed under: Setaria viridis
Lineage: Eukaryota; Viridiplantae; Streptophyta; Magnoliopsida; Poales; Poaceae
Description: long non-coding RNA (SVIR_LNC009851)
Source: RNAcentral
CUUAUAACGUGUUGCAAAUACACGCUCAUGGCAGCGACGCGAGCGUGCUUGGUCGCGCUCGCCGUGGCUCUCGCGUUUCUCCUCUUGGAGGGGCCAACAAUGGUAGCGGCGUUGGGGGCUGCCGGAGGAUCGUCGGAAGAGCACCUGAGGCAGGUGCGAAGCUUCCUCAGGCGGGUCAACAAGGCUCCUGUCACGAGCAUUCAGGUACUGGCAUCUUAAAUUCGUAAUGGGAAGAAUGCAUAUAUAUACACGCAGAAACCACUACUGCAGAAACUCUCGUACGUGUCGAUUACGCAAAUGAGAAAAUAUGAAAACUGACAUAGAUACAUCGAGCUAGUGUCUAUGCCGGCCGGCUGCAUGCACAGCCGGCAGAUAUGCAAGUCAUCGGUGUUGUUCAGUGACGGAUAGUCGGACCAAAAUUUGAUGAAAGAAAAUAGAGAAAACAAAGACCCCAGACUUACCCACAAGAUGAUUACCCCACCCCUCGUAUAUAUAUGUCCCUUCUUAUGAUCUCAGUUAUACUUCAUUGUUGAUGCCACAGGUAUAUUUUUUUUUCCUUAGGACUCUUGUUGUCUAAAACAUUUGUCAAUUAUUUAUAAAUUGACUGCAAAUAAUAAAUUUCAAACCUACAAUUUUCAUAUAAAGUUUGUCUCCUUCCGUGCAAGAUAUAAAUGCUUGAAAGAAACUGAAAUUCAAAUUAAUUGCAAAAGAAAAAAAAAAGCUAGAACAUGCAUUUGACCACACUACCAUAACUCCAAUGCAUAUUCGUUCUCUUUCCUUAACAGGUUUCCUCAAAUUUAAUCGAUUAUCACAUCAAAUUUAUGCCUAAGACAGAAGCUAAAGGUGGAGCCUUGUUGGUAGAGGCCAAAGCACCGCUUGCAGAUUGCCAUUAUUUACGCCCAAGUUUACAUGGAUGGGCUGCGGCUUUUGUUUUCAAAAAUACGAAUAUGAUUUGGUGAGAAAGAUAAGUUUGUGAAAUAUAUAGACCAAAUGAGCUCAAGUCGAACACGGACAGCAUCUACAAUAUCAAAUUUGUUUCGUUGGACUCACCGUGGAAUAUAUUUUAUAGUGCAUAUAUUUGGUAGUAUAGAUAUUAUACUUUUUUAUAAACUUGAUCAAAAUUAGAGAAGUUUGACUUAGAACAAAUUUAAUGUGACGUGUAAAAAAAGUAGAGGGAGUAUAUCGUUUCUCAAAUCCGGAGCUAGCUGUGCACAUAUGCACAGCUUUAUGGACUUAUUAUAAUAACAAAAGGUCAUGGACAAUUGAAAUUGCACACAGUUGUGAAACAUAAUCGCAUUUUUUCAACUACUGAUUCUGAGAAAUUAACAGAGCCCAGAUGGAGAUAUCAUAGACUGUGUGCCCAUCUCCAAACAGCCUGCAUUCGAUCAUCCUCUCCUGAAGAACCAUACCAUACAGGUUCGUGCAGCAAUAUUGCCCUUUUGGCCUUUUCAUUUCACUGUUGGGUGGACGUAUAAUGAUGCUCCACACCAUCACCUUUCAGAUGCAGCCUUCUGACCAUCCUAGAGGUCAGUAUGGUGACUCCAACAUUGCACCUCAUCCAAUCACACAAGCAUGGCACCAGAAUGGCAAGUGCCCUGAGAACAAUGUACCAAUCCGAAGGACAAAGGAGGAGGAUGUCCUGAGGGCCAGCUCGGUCAAUUUGUAUGGAAAGAAGAGG